AACGAACGCUGGCGGCGUGGAUUAGGCAUGCAAGUCGAACGCGAAAGAGGGAGCAAUCCCUCGAGUAGAGUGGCGAACGUGUGAGUAACGCGUGAAGAACCUGCCUUCAACAGGGGGAUAACACUCCCAACGGGGUGCUAAUACCGCAUGAGACCACGGGUCUGCAUGGGCCUGAGGUCAAAGGUGGCCUCUGCUUGCAAGCUACCGGUUGAAGAUGGCUUCGCGUCCCAUUAACUAGUUGGCGGUGUAAAAGACCACCAAGGCGACGAUGGGUAGCUGGUCUGAGAGGAUGGUCAGCCACACUGGGACUGAGAUACGGCCCAGACUCCUACGGGAGGCAGCAGUCGAGAGGCUUUGGCAAUGGGGGAAACCCUGACCAAGCGACGCCGCGUGGAGGAUGAAGGCCCUUGGGUUGUAAACUCCUUUCGUCGGGGAAGAAAUGCGAUCAGGUUAAUAAUCUGGUCGUUUGACGGUACCCGGCGAAUAAGCUCCGGCUAACUCCGUGCCAGCAGCCGCGGUAACACGGGGGGAGCAAGCGUUGUUCGGAAUCACUGGGCGUAAAGGGCGUGUAGGCGGUUAGGUAAGUGGGAUGUGAAAUGCCUCGGCUCACCCGAGGACCGGCAUCCCAAACUGCCCGACUUGAGUAUGGGAGAGGAUGUGGGAAUUCCUGGUGUAGCGGUGAAAUGCGUAGAUAUCAGGAGGAACACCGGUGGCGAAGGCGCACAUCUGGCCCAAUACUGAUGCUGAGGCGCGAA
RNAcentral lists this ribosomal RNA (755 nucleotides) under uncultured soil bacterium. Its description in RNAcentral is "bacterial SSU rRNA". It matches the Rfam family "Bacterial small subunit ribosomal RNA", at positions 28 to 757 of the family's 1533-position model. The record is from RNAcentral.